Non-coding RNA from Chlorocebus sabaeus (green monkey), 895 nucleotides. The record is from RefSeq and is a predicted model, not a curated record. NCBI's taxonomy places the organism in Eukaryota, Metazoa, Chordata, Mammalia, Primates, Cercopithecidae.
GGAUGACCUCCUCUGGUUCUGAAUUCUUGGCAGGGCCUUUGGCCAUUGGCUCUAGGAAUGAGAAGAACCCCAUGAGGUAGAAUUCUUCCCUGUGGCAGAUCAGCUGCUGAUCCCACCACGUGAAGACACUGAUAUUAGAUGAUUCUGAAGAUAAGCCAUGUUUGGGAACCCAGAACUCAACCUUUCACAUCUUUGGAUUUCCACGCUCUAAUGAUCAGAAUCAAAGUGAACUUUCCCUCAAGUACAUGAGCUCAAGAGGGACUCUUGAAUAUUAAAAGAUAUCAUAAUAUUAGUGAUAUCAAGUAUUACCCUAGGAAUCAAAAUGCUAAUUAGUGAAAUGCAACCAUAGUGCUCUCAUUAAUAAGGCUGAAUUUUAUCACAGUUCUAUGAACAAAGAUAUUACUUUUGCUUAUAUAUUUUUUUUAUCAGCAGCAAAAACCAUUAAGUUAUGAUUAGAUCUCAUCAGGACUGCUUUAGGAUUGCAUUUAGGAUCCUUCGAUACUAAAGAACCACUGAAAGAAUUGAAUGGUGUAAGGCACCUUCUAACUCAAAUAUUGGAGAAUUCUAGUUAGCCAGGUCACUGUUCUUUUCAGUCCUCCAUCUGUCCAUUGAGGCUGAAGAUUUCUAAAUUCAAGUCUCAGCUGACAACUUACCUCUUCUGAAGAGCUCAUUUUGCUGCCUGUUAAUCCUGGAACCAUAGGAUUCAUCAGAUGGACCCGUUUUGAAUAGCCAAGUGCAGGGAGGUACUGAGAGAUUAGAGAAACACACAAAAGCAGGUAUUAGUCUAAGUUCCUCCUCGGUGCCCUGAUCUCAUCUAACUUGGCCAGCAACUGAGUAGCUGUUAUAUUGCUUCCAAUCUUCUUAUACCAAAUAUAAAGAUUUAGUUUUUGAUAGU